This is a long non-coding RNA of Ornithodoros turicata, 853 nucleotides long. RefSeq lists it as uncharacterized. NCBI's taxonomy places the organism in Eukaryota, Metazoa, Arthropoda, Arachnida, Ixodida, Argasidae. The record is from RefSeq and is a predicted model, not a curated record. The transcript is spliced from 2 exons.
CUCCUAAAAAGUCUAACUGCACAACCCUUCUUUCUAAGAGUGUAUGAGUUGAGAUCUAUUCUAUUUUUAUAGUGUGUCGCUCCUUCUAGUCAACGGAAAGAACAAAAUUAAUGACUUCCCGUGGCAGCAUUCGGAACCCUAGUCCGUAAAUCUGCAGCCGUUUAUCGCCAUUAUCGUUUAUCGAGAAACCCCAUAUGGCGCGUACGUUUCCUGGCGAGAUUCCUGCCGUCGGAAAUCGUUUAGACUAAAAGGCCAGAGCGGAUAUCCGCGCUUUCUGCGGUCUCAACGCACAAUCCAACCCUAUAUAAAGACAACGGCAAAGUUCACGUUGCCACUGUUCACAUUUGCGCCGAAGAUGUCUUCACUUGCGACGACCUUGAUCGCCGUCCUGGCUCUCGUAGCCCUGGCAUCGGCCGUCUGUCCCAGAUACCCCGUCAACGUGGCCUGCGACAGAGUCUUGUACAACUGCACGCAGUCCAUGUGCGAUCGCACGGGUCACGAGUGCUGCGACACAGUCUGUGGCACCAAACGGUGCGUUCCCGGUGAACUUCGACUUGAACCUGUGCCCCUGAGCGCAACCCGCAUGACAAGCGAGAACGAGAAGUGGUGCGACGACUGCUUCGUUAGCUGUCGUAGCUGUACUCAUCACUGUCGACAAACUCAGACGUUCGAUCCCUACACGGAGAUGUGGUGCAACCGCUGCAAGGAAGUCUGCAUGAGGUGCACGGCCCGCUGCGCACAGUUCCAAUAACGGAAGUUCUGCUGUUCUUCACGAGUAGUUUGAUGUUCAUAAAGUCAAUUGAUGUCAAUUUACAUUUGAAAGGAAUAAUAAAUAUUUGUUCGAACGAAAACA